GACAAAUCAGAGGUUGCUGUUUUACUAUUCGGAGAAGCUUUUAGUGGCCGGCCACAGAGUCUGGUAUUACCAGAGAAAGCACUUGGGUUAAGGAUUUCUAAAGAUGAUAAAGAACCCAAACUUUGAGGAAUGGAUCCUACAAACAUAUUGCCAUUUAGAAAAAUAGAUUCUAAGGCCGAAAUCCUGGCUAUAUGAUAAGGAAUCAUACCUGUGAGAAGAUUGUUGACCAAAUUGAGAUAUUCAAGACAUCGAAAAGGACUUUCUGAUAUGCCAUCAGGACUACUUCUAGUUCUGAAACUAAGGAAUGAAAUCUCACCAGAGAGUGUUAUCAGAGAGAUGCCAUACCUUGAGGCUCCUGAGAUUGCCGAAUUCAGAACGAAUUGGUCCAGAAAGCUUGUUUCCACUCAGGUCCACAACUUCCAACUUCAGACAAGAAGCAAACUCUUUUGGGAUCCUCCCAACCAGCAAGUUAUUGGCAAAAGAAAGCUUUUUAAGCUCAGAAAGCCUUCCAAUUGCAGGAGAUAAGCUUCCUUUCAACUGUUUGGAAUCCGAUUCCAGACUCACUACCUUUUUCUCCUUCCCCGCACCAAACCAUGCACAUGGAGACUCCGAUGUGUCCCAGGGACUCAUCAUUCUUAUGAAUGCAUUUUAACAUACACAAUUAGACUUACCACAGAGCUUAGUUUUGACAGUGUAACACCGCCUCUCUUGACUAGACUAAUUGUCUAGUGAAAGAGAGGCGCCGUGACAGCUGUCAGAAAUCAGCAAUCUGUUAAAGAAGCCUUGCAACUCUCUUUCCAUUUUUUGUUUAAAAUUUCCUAUGCAAGGAAUGCUCCCACCACUUCGCUC
Molecule: long non-coding RNA, 849 nt
Organism: Cryptomeria japonica (Japanese cedar)
Lineage: Eukaryota; Viridiplantae; Streptophyta; Pinopsida; Cupressales; Cupressaceae
Exons: 2
Source: RefSeq, a predicted model, not a curated record